Molecule: ribosomal RNA, 484 nt
Filed under: uncultured bacterium
Lineage: Bacteria
Description: partial 16S ribosomal RNA
Rfam family: Bacterial small subunit ribosomal RNA
Source: RNAcentral
AUUGAACGCUGGCGGCAUGCUUUACGCAUGCAAGUCGAACGGCAGCGCGGGCUUCGGCCUGGCGGCGAGUGGCGAACGGGUGAGUAAUACAUCGGAACGUGCCCAGUAGUGGGGGAUAGCUCGGCGAAAGCCGGAUUAAUACCGCAUACGACCUGAGGGUGAAAGCGGGGGAUCUUCGGACCUCGCGCUAUUGGAGCGGCCGAUGACAGAUUAGCUAGUUGGUGGGGUAAAGGCCUACCAAGGCGACGAUCUGUAGCUGGUCUGAGAGGACGACCAGCCACACUGGGACUGAGACACGGCCCAGACUCCUACGGGAGGCAGCAGUGGGGAAUUUUGGACAAUGGGCGAAAGCCUGAUCCAGCAAUGCCGCGUGUGUGAUGAAGGCCUUCGGGUUGUAAAGCACUUUUGGCGGGAAAGAAAAGGACUGUGCCAAUACCACGGUUCGAUGACGGUACCCGCAGAAUAAGCACCGGCUAACUACGUG